This 233-nucleotide ribosomal RNA is filed under the name uncultured bacterium. RNAcentral describes it as "partial 16S ribosomal RNA". It matches the Rfam family "Bacterial small subunit ribosomal RNA", at positions 102 to 334 of the family's 1533-position model. The record is from RNAcentral.
ACGGGUGAGUAACGCGUAUGCAACUUGCCUAUCAGAGGGGGAUAACCCGGCGAAAGUCGGACUAAUACCGCAUGAAGCAGGGAUCCCGCAUGGGAAUAUUUGCUAAAGAUUCAUCGCUGAUAGAUAGGCAUGCGUUCCAUUAGGCAGUUGGCGGGGUAACGGCCCACCAAACCGACGAUGGAUAGGGGUUCUGAGAGGAAGGUCCCCCACAUUGGUACUGAGACACGGUCCAA